Molecule: ribosomal RNA, 820 nt
Filed under: uncultured bacterium
Lineage: Bacteria
Description: bacterial SSU rRNA
Rfam family: Bacterial small subunit ribosomal RNA
Source: RNAcentral
UCGAGGGGCAGCGGUGGUGAAGGCUUGCCUUUACCAGCCGGCGACCGUCGCACGGGUGAGUAACACGUAUGCAACCUGCCUGCCACAGCCGGAUAAUCGGGAGAAAUUCCGUCUAAUACGGCAUAAUGCAUCGACGGGACAUCCUGUUGGUGCCAAAGGUUAAUUCCGGUGGCGGAUGGGCAUGCGUCGCAUUAGUUAGUUGGCGGUGUAACGGACCACCAAGACGACGAUGCGUAGGGGUUCUGAGAGGAAGGUCCCCCACACUGGUACUGAGACACGGACCAGACUCCUACGGGAGGCAGCAGUGAGGAAUAUUGGUCAAUGGGCGGGAGCCUGAACCAGCCAAGUCGCGUGAGGGAUGACGGCCCUAUGGGUUGUAAACCUCUUUUGCCGGGGAGCAAAGUGCCGCACGUGUGCGGUUUGGAGAGUACCCGGAGAAAAAGCAUCGGCUAACUCCGUGCCAGCAGCCGCGGUAAUACGGAGGAUGCGAGCGUUAUCCGGAUUUAUUGGGUUUAAAGGGUGCGUAGGCGGACGCUUAAGUCAGCGGUAAAAUUGCGGGGCUCAACCUCGUCGAGCCGUUGAAACUGGGUGCCUUGAGUGGGCGAGAAGUACGCGGAAUGCGUGGUGUAGCGGUGAAAUGCAUAGAUAUCACGCAGAACUCCGAUUGCGAAGGCAGCGCACCGGCGCCCAACUGACGCUGAAGCACGAAGGCGUGGGUAUCGAACAGGAUUAGAUACCCUGGUAGUCCACGCAGUAAACGAUGAAUGCUAGUUGUCCGGGGCGAUUGAGUUCUGGGUGACACAGCGAAAGCGUUAAGCAU